RNAcentral lists this ribosomal RNA (520 nucleotides) under uncultured archaeon. RNAcentral describes it as "bacterial SSU rRNA". It matches the Rfam family "Archaeal small subunit ribosomal RNA", at positions 216 to 738 of the family's 1478-position model. The record is from RNAcentral.
CGCGACCGAUCAGGUUGUUGGUGAGGUAACGGCCUAUCAAGCCUUUUACCGGUACGGGCCGUGAGAGCGGGAGCCCGGAGAUGGGCACUGAGACAAGGGCCCAGGUCCUACGGGGCGCAGCAGUCGCGCAAACUUUGCAAUACACGAAAGUGUGACAGGGCUAUCCCGAGUGCCGUCCGCUGAGGGUGGCUUUUACCCAGUCUAGCAAGCUGGGAGAAUAAGGAGAGGGCAAGUCUGGUGUCAGCCGCCGCGGUAAUACCAGCUCUCCGAGUGGUGUGGAUGUUUAUUGGGCCUAAAGCAUCCGUAGCUUGCUGAUCAAGUCCCCUGUUAAACCCAACGAAUCAAUCGUUGGAUUGCGGGGGAUACUGUCCGGCUAGGGGGUGGGAGAGGCCGACGGUAUUCCCGGGGUAGGGGUGAAAUCCUAUAAUCCCGGGAGGACCACCAGUGGCGAAGGCUGUUGGCUAGAACAUGCCCGACGGUGAGGGAUGAAAGCUGGGGGAGCGAACCGGAUUAGAUACCC